Long non-coding RNA from Rosa rugosa (rugosa rose), 851 nucleotides. RefSeq lists it as uncharacterized. Lineage: Eukaryota; Viridiplantae; Streptophyta; Magnoliopsida; Rosales; Rosaceae. The record is from RefSeq and is a predicted model, not a curated record. The transcript has 2 exons.
CUGGCCGUUGAUCUAUCCACCGCUUCAUCCUGGCCCUUGAUUACAAAUUAGGUUGAGGUAUAUAAAGCCCUUGAUCAGAUCAAGGACAGAGAUUGAAGCAGAAAACACGAGAGAGAGAGAGAGCUGGGAGCUCUGACCCGGACGCCACCGACCUGAGAAGGAAACCCGGCCGUUGCGCCACCGUCCGGCCACCCCACGACGGUGCACAGGCCCAAUCUCGUUCGUCUCUGCGUCGCCUACAUCCCAGUAGCCUCGAAUUAUCCAUGCACUGAGCUGGGACGGAGAAUCGACGACGAGAAGCCCGAGCUCUUUCCGGUAACUUCUGCAAUUUCCGGUGACUCCGGCCACCGAUUGGCUUAUAUGUGCUUUUCCGGCUAUCCUGGGCUUGGCUUCCACCUCGAUUUCACCUGUAGACGAGGAAUUGAGAAGCUUUCUGGAUUGUAGCCCGAGAACCUGAUGUUCAUCACCAUUCCAGUUUCUACAGUGAGCUCAAGAAGCUGAGUUUGGGUGAUUGAAGUGGAAUUCUGAUUUUCCGAGGUAAAAUCCCGACCUUGACUCAAACUUUGGUACUUGGUGAUAAUCGGAUAUUAAUCCCUGAAAGUUGAGGAUUUGGGUUGGCUGUGUGGUUUGGUUUGCUUGUGCAUAAUGGGUUGUUGUGUUGUUAUGUUUGAUUGUGGCUAUUGUUAGUUACGAGACAAAGGUACAAAAAUUAAAUUAUGAAUGGUUGUGUUGAUGAGAAUUGGAUGAUUGUGAAAGGUUUGGGAGGGAUCAAGUUUAAUUAUGGGUGUCCAGAGUAAAUCAGGUCUACCCAUAUUGAGUCGAAAAUAUAUGUUGGAAAAAUAUUGGGUGUC